UCCCACUGCCUUCACUCUGCCUUCACUUUUUGGCUGUCCCCAUAGGAAAACACUUUUAAGAGCCCUUUUGGUUCCUGGUAGAACCUAAAAGGGUUCUCCUAAGGUGACAGUGGAAGAACCCUUUUUUGAACCCAUUUUUACUAAGAGUGUAUUCGACCUUCACUAUCAAAUGUUUUGGCAGGAGUUGUAAUGGAGGGACAAGGAUUUCAAGGUGCACUGAGGGUCAUGCUCCUUGUGUGUCUCCUUGGACUAACAAAAGAGUUUGAACUUGAGGACAAAGACUGGGACGAGUUGAGGUCUGAUGUGGCUGCGCUGCACAGAUUGAAAGGAUUACCUGAUCAAAUGACACGUAGGACCACAGGAGCAGACACCAGAGAGAUAACAAUGCACGGGACCAGGACAAAGAGAUUCAGCAAUUACAGGGCAUAUGUGGAGAAAAAGCCCAUGGCUUUAUUUGAUGGUCUUAGGGGAUGUGACCAUUUUACAACAUGCGUCAUUCAAAUGGACCAGGAUUUUGAAAGGUUUCUGGAAGAAAUUGAUAGACAAAAGAUCCAAGAUUUGCUGCUGUCUGCUUCUGAAAUGUCUUACACCUACAGCAACAAACUUCUCCUUAUAAUGGACAAGGAAGAGUGGACUCGUCAGCGAGUAGAAGAGGAGUACAGCAUAGAUCCUCAUUAUUCAGUAAUGCUUUGGUCCAUAGAAAGAGGAAGAGGGGACAAGGAGGGAAAGACAGCAGUGAUAGAGCUACUGAAAUGGGGAAAGACACAAUAGAAGUGCGAGAAGAGGACGCACCUCUCCAGGGCUUAACUUCUCAACCUAAAGUAGAGGAAGAAGAAGGAAGAGAAGGAAACUGAAUGAGAACGAUAGACAU
This is a long non-coding RNA of Oncorhynchus tshawytscha (Chinook salmon), 871 nucleotides long. NCBI's taxonomy places the organism in Eukaryota, Metazoa, Chordata, Actinopteri, Salmoniformes, Salmonidae. The record is from Ensembl.